AACGAACGCUGGCGGCAGGCCUAACACAUGCAAGUCGAGCGGACCUUUCGGGGUCAGCGGCGGCCGGGUGAGUAACGCGUGGGAAUAUGCCCUUCUCUACGGCAUAGUCCUGGGAAACUGGUGGUAAUACCGUAUACGCACUCUGGGGGAAAGAUGUAUCGGGGAAGGAUUAGCCCGCGUGGGAUUAGGUAGUUGGUGGGGUAAUGGCCUACCAAGCCGACGAUCCAUAGCUGGUUUGAGAGGAUGAUCAGCCACACUGGGACUGAGACACGGCCCAGACUCCUACGGGAGGCAGCAGUGGGGAAUCUUAGAGAAUGGGGGCAAUCCUGAUCUAGCCAGGCCGCGUGAGUGAUGAAGGCGUUAGGGUUGGAAAGCGCUUUUAGCUGGGAAGAUAAUGACGGUACCAGGAGAAGAAGCCCCGGCUAACUACGUG
RNAcentral lists this ribosomal RNA (433 nucleotides) under uncultured bacterium. RNAcentral's name for it is "partial 16S ribosomal RNA". It matches the Rfam family "Bacterial small subunit ribosomal RNA", at positions 29 to 507 of the family's 1533-position model. The record is from RNAcentral.